Molecule: ribosomal RNA, 238 nt
Filed under: uncultured bacterium
Lineage: Bacteria
Description: partial 16S ribosomal RNA
Rfam family: Bacterial small subunit ribosomal RNA
Source: RNAcentral
CGAACGGGUGAGUAACACGUGAGUAACCUGCCCCCUUCUUCUGGAUAACCGCAUGAAAGUGUGGCUAAUACGGGAUAUUCUGGGUCUGUCGCAUGGCGGGCUCGGGAAAGAUAUUGUUUCGGUGGGGGAUGGGCUCGCGGCCUAUCAGCUUGUUGGUGGGGUGAUGGCCUACCAAGGCGGUGACGGGUAGCCGGCCUGAGAGGGUGGACGGUCACACUGGGACUGAGACACGGCCCAG